CUAGGUGGCUAUAGAGAGGGGGAAACGCCUGGUCCCAUUCCGAACCCAGAAGCUAAGCCCCUCUUCGCUGAUAAUACUUAUCCUUUCAGGAUUGGAAAUGUAGGUCGUUGCCUAGU
Molecule: ribosomal RNA, 116 nt
Filed under: Sulfurimonas sp.
Lineage: Bacteria; Pseudomonadati; Campylobacterota; Epsilonproteobacteria; Campylobacterales; Sulfurimonadaceae
Source: RNAcentral